This is a long non-coding RNA of Bactrocera oleae (olive fruit fly), 717 nucleotides long. RefSeq lists it as uncharacterized. The record is from RefSeq and is a predicted model, not a curated record. Lineage: Eukaryota; Metazoa; Arthropoda; Insecta; Diptera; Tephritidae.
UGCCCAAUUCACAUGGAACUUUUUAUUCGCUUUACGUCAGACCUUGGUUUUGACAGAAUAGUUCGAUGUAUGCUUUUGUAUUAAGUAAAAUACACUAUAAUUAUGUGUUAUAAACAAUAAUUUUCAAUAAUUUUAACUAAUUGAAGCAAUGCAAAUGCACCCAUGCUUGUUCAAUAAGAGCUGCAAAAGCUUUAGAAACAAGAACGCCAAGGAGCGGUCAUGGCAGGCGGUGUCAAAUUAUAUGGUAGCCUCAGUGGAACAUUGCACACUGCAAAAACACGCGUCGUUGCGGGAUAGGUUCGUGCAGGAGGUGGCGGCACAAAAAUUGAGGUCGAGGGCAGCAGCCCAUAAUACAACGGAAUGGUGUUAUUUCCCACCAAUGCGGUUUUAAACGAAAUAUGUUGCCCCCAGAAAUGAACAUGGAGGGUACUCAAGUGAGUGAUUGUGGUGUAGGAGCUCGUAGAGGAGAGUGGGUUCCUUGAAAACCAGGGCAGCAGCAGCGCAUUUAGAGCCUCAAAAGGGCAGCGGGUGGAGGAAGAAUCUUACAACCGAUUCAAUAACUGUGGAACCCUGGAGAUAGCGUUGUCAAGAUCAGAACAAUUGACAGAAGCCAAAAGUAAAAUAUUUUUACAAAUUCUAGAUGAACUGUUACAAAAGAAACCAGAGGAUAGGUUGAAACAGAAAUGCUAGGUCCACAAUUCCUUACACUAUUUUUAA